UUCGUUGACCCAUCCCCGUUCGUCAGGUCGCCCCUCAUGGUGAGUGCUGCCACUUCCAGGUCUUCUUUCUCUUCCUCCUCUCAACUGCUCCUCCCCAUCUCCACUCCACUAGCCCCCUACUACUCGCUGACCCCCUGAGCAACUGCUCGAGUCCCCUCCCAAUCUAGUCCCCAAAUUUCUCAAAUCAAGCAGUCGCAAGUGAGUAUAAGUGGAUCUGCAGGCUGUAGCUGCAAAUUCGUCAAGGGGGAGCAACGAUUCGAAAAGCUACUGUAACAGGUACGUAUUGUUGUUUCAGAUAGCCGGCCAAGAGGAUCAAGUCCAAGAGAAAGAGAGGUGAAGACAAUGGUUUUGCGCUGCUCAACUGACGCAUCUUUUCUGCUUCUUCUGUUAUUAUUAGACUAGCUCAAACGGCUGCCGAAUUACAAGGAAAAUACCCACACCUUCAACAGGCCUACUGGUCGUGCCAUCCCACGACGCCUAGUUAAGAUCGGGCGACUACUUUGCCCGCACGGACCGCAGCAACGAUCAUGCCAUCCCAUGACCUGGUAAGGCAAGCAAAACUAGCUAACAGACUAACUGAAAACUACUGACAGAAAACAUCUAACUGAAACUUCUGACCCCGUGCGUGUACAAGCACACGCCGACGGUCAGUGUUUAUUCAGAGUACUGUAACCUGAAACUUGAGUGUGUGUGUAGUUUAUCCAACAAAUCACCCUCUAAUAUGCUACACACUGAAUCACCCCUAGCUUGUGUUGUAGCUCAACGUACCGGCUCCUUCCAAGGGAUUUUGUGAAAAUGUCUGCAACUUGGUCUCCGGUUCUGACAUGGACGAUAUCCACUCGCCCCAGCUCAACACACUCUUUGCUAUAGUGAUACCUGAGGUCAAUGUGUUUACUCCUCUCAUGAUGCACCGGAUUUUUGCUCAGUUCGAUUGCAGAUCUGUUGUCAACAUGCAGCUUGACCUUCUGAACUUUUGUACCCAGCAUUUCAGCAAGCAACCUGCUCAGCCACACAGCCUGACUUGCUGCUGUCGCUGCUGCUAUGUACUCGGCCUCGCAUGAAGAUUUUGCAACCACCUUCUACUUCUGGGAGGACCAAGUAAUAGCACCUGAACCGGGGAAAAACACAAUACCCGUGGUACUUUUCCUGUCAUCAAGAUCUCCUACGUGGUCACUAUCACUGAAACCAAUGAGAAUAGUUUCCCCUUCUGCUCUGUAGAUACACCCAAGAUUCAGGGUGCCCUUGAUGUACCUCAGAACUUGCUUGAUGAAACGGCUUAGAAGCCCCAUAACAUAUGUAAUGUCAGGUCGUGUGUUUACCAGGUACCGCAGGCUCCCAAUGAGACUUCGACGAUAUUCAGUUGCAUCCACUGCUCCUCCCUGGUUCUUCCUCAACUUCAGGCGAUUUUCCAGUGGUGUAUGACUGGCAUUGCACUGAUCCAUGCCAGCAUCUUCCAGAAUCUUCUUAGCAUAGCUGGACUGGCAAACACUGAUUCCAUACUGGUCCUGCUUCACUUCUAAAUCCAGAUAGUAAAUUAGGAGACCAAGAUCGCUCAUCUGAAACAUGUCCUGCAUCUGCUGCUUGAACUGCUUGAUAACAUCUUCAGAGGACCCAAAGAUGAUUAGAUCGUCGACGUACACCCCAACCAGCAAAUGAUCACUUCCUUUCCCACGCUUGUACAGGGCAUGAUCCAAACGACACUUCUCAAAACCAAGGGAAACCAGGGUAGUGUCCAGCUUGGUAUUCCAUGCUUGGGGUGCCUGAUGGAGCCCAUACAGAGCCUUCCGCAGCUUCAGAACCUUGCUGGGAUUGCAGCUGUCGAUGAAACCUGCUGGCUGAUGCACAUAAACUUCUUCCUGCAGUUCCCCAUUCAGAAAAGCAGAUCGCACAUCCAUGUGAUGCACUGACCACCGCCGUUGCGCCGCCACUGCAAGCAACAGGCUCACUGUUUCCAGACGAGCUACGAGAGCGAACACUUCGUCAAAAUCCACCCCUUGCCUCUGUGUGUAUCCCUUUGCCACCAGACAAGCUAUGUGCUUCACAAUAUUUCCAGCUGGAUCGCGCUUCACCUUGAACACCCACUUUAGUCCGAUGGCGCGAUGACCGGCAGGCAGGGAGGCAAGAGACCAGGUGCUGUUGGAGCGGAUGGAGUCCAUCUCUGCCCCCAUUGCGUCGCGCCAGGCAGGUUCAUCCAGUGCAUCCUCGACAGACGCGGGUUCCUCUGCAGCAGAGAGACAAAGGCCGCUGUAUUCCAAAGUGCACUCCGGUGCAUGGUCGAUGACGUACUCCAUCGAUUUGAAACGGACAUGCACCCCCUCGGCGUCGAAGUCCUCGCCGGUGAGUGGAGUCACCCACCCGUCUUCCGGAUCAUAGGAUCUUGCUGGUGAGUACGGACUUGUACCCACUGAGACUGGCGUCCACUCCGCGCUUGACGUGCUCACAUCAGACCCGCCCGACAUGGGCAUCUGUGGUGAGGUCGGCGAGGCCGGCGAGCUUGGUGAAGAUGGCGAGCUUGAUGCAGUCGGUGAUGCAGGCGUGUGUGGUGGCACCGCUGCGCCCGGCGACACAGAGUAGGUCGCCGUCACGGGCACACCUACGUCGGUGUGCAUGACCGUGAACUCACGGGCGUGCUCCGAGUCGCCACCGUCCUUGCUCUGGUUCCAGCGCCGGUCUUCCUCAAAACGCACAUCCCGUGUGAUGAACAAGCGCUUGCCGACCGGGUCGUACACCUGAUACCCCUUUGUGCCCGGCUCGUAUCCGAGGAAAAUACCGGGGCACGAUCUGUCUGCCAGCUUAGUCACGCCAGGUCCGACGAGCUUGACAUGCGCGAUGCAGCCGAAGGCGCGGAAGUAGUCCACCGUCGGCUUUUUCUUGCGCCAUGCUUCGUAUGGAGUGAUGUUGUAGGCUUCUGGUUGCGACCUAUUCAGAAUAUGGACGGCGGUACGCAUGACCUCGCCCCAGAACGUGCACGGCACGUCCAUGGCCUUCAAGAGGCUACGCGCCAUCUCCACUACGGACUGGUUCCGCCGUUCAACCACUCCAUUUUGCUGGGGAGAGUAGGGCGUCGUUGUGUUCCUGUUGAUUCCCAUCUCCUCGCAGUAGGUGGCGAAAUCGUUCGACGUGAACUCGCAUCCCUGUCCGUGCGGAACGCCCGAAGCUUGGUGUUGCCCUGCGUCUCCGCCAGCGCCUUGAUCUUCUUGAAGUACCGAAACGCCUCAUCUUUGCUCUUUAGUACCUCAAGCCACAUGUAUCUACUGAAAUCAUCAACAAUCGACAGGAAGUACUUGUUACCGCUGGCCGUCGCCGGAGUGAUUGGGCCGCACAGAUCACCAUGAACAAGCUCGAGCGCGCCUCAGCGUGGUAAGCCGACACGCGCGGGAAGGGCGUCUGGUGCAUCUUGCCAAUGGUGCACCCCUCACAGAACUGAUCGAGGUGCGCAAUCGCUAGCAUCCCGCGCACCAUGGUCUUCGCCCCGAGUUCGUGCAGCGCGCGGAAAUGCAGGUGGCCGAACCUGGCGUGCCACCUCCAGGACACGUCCUGGACUCCGGCGAGCAGGCACACGGGAGUGGCCAAGUUCAGAGCCACGGCGUAAAGCCGGUUGCUCAUCCGCCGCACCCGCGCCAGUAGCAGCUUCUGCCUGUCGUACAGACAGAGCUCGCCGUCCUCAAUGACAGUCCUGGACCCAUUCUCGUCGAGUUGUCCGAUGCUGACGAUGCUCGUGCGCAGCUGCGGGAUGUAGUAGACGUCCGCGAGUGCUCGAUGUUCUCCACUGCGGCACGAAAACAACACGGCGCCGUGUCCACAGAUCUGCAGUGCAGAGCCAUCACCGAAACAAACUGUACCUCGUACUGUCUCAUCAAGCUCCGAGAUCAUGUCGCGGCGCCCUGUCAUAUGGUUGCUGGCGCCGGUGUCCAGGUACCAGCGGUCGUCGUCCGUCGCCACCGGCAUGACUCGCGCCUCGUUGAGGAAGAUCUCGGUGCCUGGUUCAUGUCUGCUGUCGAUCGCGUCCUCCCCGCUCACCACCACACAGGUGGCCAACAGCAAGCCUGGUUGCUCGACGUCGACCUGAGCGAUGUUUGCCUGUUGGUCCGGUUGCUCGCGCUGGUCCCUUUCCUUCUUGCGACAUUCCUUGGCCCAGUGCCCUGGGAUGCCGCAGUAGCGGUAGUUGCCCUUUCGCUUGGGCGUCGCCAGACCGCCGUUGCCGCAGCCGCCCGCUCUGGGCACAGCCGCCCCCGCCUUGGAGGUUCUUCGGCUUGCCGUUUCCGCGCCCCCGCCCCGCUCCAGAGCCUGAGGACGCGCCGCCCUGGUCCAGCAACUUCUCGUGUGCCCGCCACUGGUCAAUGGUGUAUAGCAGCUGCGUGCCGGGCGCUGGGGUCUCCUCGUGCUCUCACUCCUCGACGACAAGGAGCCGGCCGCAGAGUUCCUCGAGGGAGAGCUGCCUGGUGUCGACGAGUGACUCGAUCGCCACGGCCAUCUCGUGGUAUGGGCGUGGCACGGUGCGGAGCACCUUGAGGACAGCUUUGUGCUCAUCCACGGGGUCGCCGAGCGCGUGCAGCUCGUCGAUGAUCGUCUUGAGUCGCAUGACAUAUGACUCGAUCCCCUCGCCGUCCUUGUACCGUAGUGCCUCCUACUCCGAGCGGCGAGUCUGCGCCUUGGCCUCGCGCACGCUUUCGACGCCGACGCGCAUGGUCUUCAGGGUGUCCCACGCCUCCUUGGCUGUGGCCUUGGCGCCCAGGAUUCGCAUGAGCUCCGGCGGCACCCCCUUUAGGAGGGCGAUCAUGGCGCGCCGGUCGUCGUGAUCUGUGCCUUGCCCCGUCUCCACCACGCGCCAGAGUUCGUCCGCCUGCAACUGCAGUUUAGUGAUCAUAGCCCAAUCGGAGUAGUUUGUGCACGUGAGCAUCAUCGGGGGCCCGCCGCCGCCGCUGUUGUGCACGACGCGCACCCCUAAUCCCUCCUCAGUGGAGAGAUGCGCCAAUGAUUUCUCCAGUGCCACGACCUCCGCCGCGGCCUUCUCCUCCUCGAUCUCCUUCUUUGACUUCUCGUCGCCGCUGCCGGCCAUCUCUCCGACGGAUCAGACACCGCCGGCGCCCAGGAUGGAUCGAACACCACCGAGGCUCUGAUACCACUUGUUGUUUCAGAUAGCCGUCCAAGAGAAAGAGAGGUGGAAGACAAUGGUUUUGCGCUGCUCAACUGAUGCAACUUUUCUGCUUCUUCUGUUAUUAUCAGACUAGCUCAAACGGCUGACGAAUUACAAGAAAAAUACCCACACCUUCAGCAGGCCUACUGGUCGUGCCAUCCCACGACG
This 5305-nucleotide long non-coding RNA is filed under the name Triticum aestivum (bread wheat). RNAcentral's name for it is "long non-coding RNA (TAES_LNC002310)". The record is from RNAcentral. Lineage: Eukaryota; Viridiplantae; Streptophyta; Magnoliopsida; Poales; Poaceae.